RNAcentral lists this transfer RNA (75 nucleotides) under Desulfarculus baarsii DSM 2075. Its description in RNAcentral is "tRNA-Thr (CGT) (tRNA-Thr-CGT-1-1)". It matches the Rfam family "tRNA". From Rfam's summary of the family: Transfer RNA (tRNA) molecules are approximately 80 nucleotides in length. Their secondary structure includes four short double-helical elements and three loops (D, anti-codon, and T loops). The record is from RNAcentral. RNAcentral also lists the same sequence under 5 other names. Lineage: Bacteria; Pseudomonadati; Thermodesulfobacteriota; Desulfarculia; Desulfarculales; Desulfarculaceae.
GCCGGCGUAGCUCAGGGGUAGAGCAGCUGAUUCGUAAUCAGCAGGUCGCGGGUUCAAAUCCCAUCGCCGGCUCCA